GAGAUGCAAAAAGCCUGCGGCGCUCGGAGGCGCCUGGUCCUGGGGACCUCUUUCCUCCACUCUAUGCUCAGCAUAGGAAGAUGGGGCUGGGGAAUUCUUUUUUGGUUUUCUGAUUUUGUUUUGCUCUGGUUUUGGUUGGGUUUUGUAUUUUCCUAUUCUUCCUUGGUUUUAUUUUUUUCCUUUUUUCUUUUUUGCGCUUUCUUUCCUGUCAUUCUCCCAGCCAAAAGCCGCCUUCGACCCUUUUGAUUUGAUGUAGCAAAGAGUGUGUGUCCAGAUUAUCUGAAAUAGACACUGAAGAAGCUACACAGAUGGUCAAGCAGGGCCCGGACGAAGACCAUUCAGGAAAAAGCGGUCCAUGAGUCGGUGAUGGGCUGCCCGCAGAGUGGUGUGGCUCAGACCUGGUGACUUUUUGGAGAGGCCGUAGAAUGAGGACAGCAGACACACGAGGACCUUGACUUCGGUGCACAGACAGUGCAAAAAGGAGACAAAGACGGACAGAACCGAAAAAAGAGCAUUAUUUCCCCCUCCUACGUAUUUUUUUUUUCCUGAUAGUCUCACAAAGCUGAAAGUCUGGUCGGGUCCAGCGGGUUGUCUUGUGGCACUGGCUGUCUCCAGUGGCUGUGCCUGCGCUUUGAGGCCACUCUGCUGUCACCGUGGCCCAAACCAGGUUCGGAGCCAGAGCUGAAAAGUCGCUGGGCCAGACUUUUAGGGGCUCUGAGGAGGCAGCAAGCCCUCUGUCUUCACUGUUCAUUUUUCUUUUCUUUUUAGCCCUCCCGCCCCCGCCCCUGGGCCCUUCUCCUCCCGGCCCAGGGCAAGCGAAAAGGUAGAUUAACCUGGUGGCGGGAGGGCCAGGCCAAGGGAGACGGGUAGGAAGCGGGUGAGUGCGAACUGACAACCUCACAUUAGUUGAGGCUGCUGCAUAGCUUCUUGGUGCGCUGAGGGAUACCAUGACGUGUAGCUGGGGACGUAGGAGCCAGCGCUGCUGCCGGAGCCCUUCCCAGAUGAGGAGUUCGGAUUCCAGCCCGGUGGUACCGGUGGGGAGCCGGCAGACAAGGCCCUGCCGUUUGCCAGCGCGCUGCCCUCCAGAGCUGCCCCGCCUUGCUUCAUCAGCUUCUUGAACUUGGAGCGUUUGUUCUGGAACCAUAUCUUGACCUGCAGGAUCGGGCGACAACAUGACUAGUCUAUGACCACUGAGCCUACCCAGGUCUAGGGAGGAAAAAGGGGACUGGUGGACAACACCCGCCCUCCUUCCUUCGGAAAAGCUGACAGCUCCAGGAUAAAGGGGCAGAGACCAUCGCCUCCCCAGCCCACCAUGAGCGCCAAAUGCCAGAAUAUUGAGCCCCACGUCGGGCCGCUGCUGGCAGCCUUUAGAGCAGCUCUCAGAGCCGGGGGAUAAGAGAACAGGGGAGAGUCAGGUCUUGGCUUGCAAAAGAGUCGGUGCCACCCGGGCUGAUGUUUAUGGAAGACCUCAUGUAGAACAAUGCAAUAACAAUAAAGAAAAUUUAAAACCUAGAUAGGAAUGGAGGGCAUUUAUUAAAAUUAGAUCACCUUUCCUUUGUACCUUUCUACCUUUGGAUGAGUCGAAGGACUGAUGGAAGAGGCUACUGCGGCUUUGUUAAACUCUUUAGACUCAAUCCAACUUUUUUUUUUCUUUUACCUUCCUAAGUGUAUUUGCUUUCCCCAGCUCCAACCUAUAUCUAGAGACAGACUUUGGAAAUCGGCAUCAGCUCCGGUUCUAAUACUUACAAACUGCCCAGGGUCUUAGAGAUAUGUAGGAAGAAAAAAAAAAUCUCACUUUUUUUUUCUUCUUAAAGAUCUGGAACUUGGGAAGUGAAGAACCAAAGGGAAGGAUCCGCCUCUGCCACCUCACAAGAAGGAGGAGGUGGGGGGAGCAGGCUUAGGCCCAGGAUCCGAGUGAUUAGUUACACACUUUAAAGGCAAGGGAAGAUUAAACCCCCUUCUAUUGUUCCAGUUGUUCAGGCACGUGUGACCUCAGAAUCUCCAAACAAAGCGUCUGGGGAAAUCCUUCCAGUUCCCUGCCUGAUCACAAGUCCAGGGACAGAAGACCAAGUAGCCUGCAGGUCAGGGUAGGGUCCGAGCUAGGGCAAACUGUUUGAGGGAGGGAGGGGAGAAGCUGAAAGUCAGAGGUGGACACACACACACACACACACACACACACACACGCACGGGAGGGGGGCGGACAGUGACACCUAGAACCAGAGGCCCAACGAACAAAAAAUGUGAAGCCUGGGGUUCAAGCCCAGCUCCGGAAGCCUGUUUGGCGGAGCGGCCAUGUACCUGAGUCUGUGUGAGUCCCAAGGAGGCCGCCAGCUCCGCCCUCUCAGGCAGAGCUAGGUACUGAGUUUGUUGGAACCUCCGGUUCAAAGCCUGCAACUGCAAACUGGAAUAAAUUGUCCUGGGUUUACGGAUCUUUUUCCCUUUGCCGUUAAAGCGCACUUCACCGCCUUCCACCACGGUGCUCUUCUCGGAGUCCGCCCCUGGAGGGACAACAGAAGCAGAGACCCUUGUUAUUGCUGCCUUUAGUGAGGAGGGACGAGAAUGAAUGUCUAUGGAUGGGUUGGCAGAGGCAGGGUCCGAAAAAGAACGUUCAAGAAACCCUGAAAGACCGAGAGGGUCCCCCAAGGUCCGAACGCAAGGUCCCUGGUUGCUGCAGACGGAAUUGGGUCGUUCCCAAGAGCGCAGCUAUUGCCUUUGCAGAGAAAGUUUGCUAUUUUUUGCAGGCGGUAGUUGAGGUUUAAUUACCCUUAAUUGCAUACAUUGUUUAUAGCGCUACGCAAUAAAUAAUUACCGAGA
This is a long non-coding RNA of Mastomys coucha (southern multimammate mouse), 2814 nucleotides long. RefSeq lists it as uncharacterized. The record is from RefSeq and is a predicted model, not a curated record. Lineage: Eukaryota; Metazoa; Chordata; Mammalia; Rodentia; Muridae. The transcript is spliced from 2 exons.